This 212-nucleotide ribosomal RNA is filed under the name Vibrio parahaemolyticus. RNAcentral's name for it is "partial 16S ribosomal RNA". It matches the Rfam family "Bacterial small subunit ribosomal RNA", at positions 37 to 235 of the family's 1533-position model. The record is from RNAcentral. Lineage: Bacteria; Pseudomonadati; Pseudomonadota; Gammaproteobacteria; Vibrionales; Vibrionaceae.
UGGCGGCAGGCCUAACACAUGCAAGUCGAGCGGAAACGAGUUGUCUGAACCUUCGGGGAACGAUAAUGGCGUCGAGCGGCGGACGGGUGAGUAAUGCCUAGGAAAUUGCCCUGAUGUGGGGGAUAACCAUUGGAAACGAUGGCUAAUACCGCAUGAUACCUACGGGUCAAAGAGGGGGACCUUCGGGCCUCUCGCGUCAGGAUAUGCCUAGG